RNAcentral lists this transfer RNA (73 nucleotides) under Flavobacteriales bacterium. RNAcentral describes it as "tRNA-Gly". It matches the Rfam family "tRNA". From Rfam's summary of the family: Transfer RNA (tRNA) molecules are approximately 80 nucleotides in length. Lineage: Bacteria; Pseudomonadati; Bacteroidota; Flavobacteriia; Flavobacteriales. The record is from RNAcentral.
GCGGGAAUAGCUCAGUUGGUAGAGCAUAACCUUGCCAAGGUUAGGGUCGCCGGUUCGAGUCCGGUUUCCCGCU